RNAcentral lists this ribosomal RNA (460 nucleotides) under uncultured bacterium. RNAcentral's name for it is "partial 16S ribosomal RNA". It matches the Rfam family "Bacterial small subunit ribosomal RNA", at positions 338 to 795 of the family's 1533-position model. The record is from RNAcentral.
CCUACGGGGGACAGCAGUGAGGAAUAUUGGUCAAUGGGCGGAAGCCUGAACCAGCCAAGUAGCGUGCAGGAUGACGGCCCUACGGGUUGUAAACUGCUUUUAUACGGGAAUAACGCGCCUUACGUGUAGGGCUUUGCAUGUACCGUAUGAAUAAGGACCGGCUAAUGCCGUGCCAGCAGCCGCGGUAAUACGGCAGGUCCGGGCGUUGUCCGGAUGUAUUGGGUUUAAAGGGAGCGUAGGCCGCAUGUCAAGCGUGCUGUGAAAGGGCCGGGCUCAACCCGGGCCUUGCAUAGCGAACUGGCGGGCUUGCGUCCGCGGAAAGCAGGCGGAAUUCGGCGUGUAGCGGUGAAAUGCUUAGAUAUGACGAAGAACCCCGAUUGCGAAGGCAGCUUGCUGCAGCGGAACUGACGCUGAUGCUCGAAAGCGCGGGUAUCGAACAGGAUUAGAUACCCUAGUAGUC